UACGUAGGGGGCAAGCGUUGUCCGGAUUUAUUGGGCGUAAAGAGCGCGUAGGCGGCUAGGCAGGUCCGUUGUGAAAACUCGAGGCUCAACCUCGAGACGCCGAUGGAAACCAUCUGGCUAGAGUCCGGAAGAGGAGAGUGGAACUGCGAGUGUAGAGGUGAAAUUCGUAGAUAUUCGCAAGAACACCAGUGGCGAAGGCGGCUCACUGGCCCGGUACUGACGCUGAGGUGCGAAAGCGUGGGGAGCAAACAGG
Molecule: ribosomal RNA, 253 nt
Filed under: uncultured bacterium
Lineage: Bacteria
Description: partial 16S ribosomal RNA
Rfam family: Bacterial small subunit ribosomal RNA
Source: RNAcentral